This 777-nucleotide ribosomal RNA is filed under the name Gammarus balcanicus. RNAcentral describes it as "eukaryotic LSU rRNA". It matches the Rfam family "Eukaryotic large subunit ribosomal RNA", at positions 157 to 664 of the family's 3401-position model. RNAcentral also lists the same sequence under 1 other name. The record is from RNAcentral. Lineage: Eukaryota; Metazoa; Arthropoda; Malacostraca; Amphipoda; Gammaridae.
UAAGUCACGCCACGAAUAGGCUAUCCCAACUAACGGCGGGAAAGACUCCACGGAGGGUGUAAGACCCGUGUGGGCGCGUGUUUAAAGCUGUGCGGGCUCGGCCUCUUUUCCCUGAGAGUCGCGUUGCUUGAGAUUGCAGCGCUAAGCAGGUCGUAAACUCGAUCUAAGGCUAAAUAUCUCCACAGAACCGAUAGCGAACAAGUACCGUGAGGGAAAGUUGAAAAGCACUCUGGAGAGAGAGUCAAAAGACCGUGAAACUGUUCAGAGUAUAAGCCCAUGGCAGCUUGGAAGGCAUAUCGAAAGCGGGGCAUCGGUCUGCCUUCGCGGGGAGCCGGUGUUACCUUGCUUCUGUUGUGGCUCGUCAAGGUAGGGGGGUCAGGUCCACAUCCCGCCAUCGUGUGGGGGGUUCUUGGGUGUGUUGUGGUUUGUCGGUUGGCUUCGGCUUUCAGGCGGGCUCUUCGUGCUCGGUUCCUCUUUAGACACGGACGUUCAGACUCAGAGGCAAGACGCGAUAAACAGCCCACCACGGCUCGUUGUAAGGUCACCCACAGGCUCGACUUUCGAUUGUGAGCCUUGACGCCGAGCAAGCACAAUGCGUGUCGCUGAGGUUCCUAACCAGGCAACAGUGCCAGGAUCGUGGAACGACACGCGCUCAACAGUCAGGCUCGGGCGGAGACAGAGUUCUGGUACGAUCCUAUGCGACGAGCCGGCUUCUGGCCAACAUCCGAUGCUCAGGUCUCCCGCAUGUGCCGCGGGAGAUCGUCUUGACGGUCUGGA